UUAUGGCCAUAUCACAUUGAAACAUUGGUUUCCGUACGAUCACCGACGUUAAACAACAUCAAGCCUGGUCAGUACCUAGCUGGGUGACCGCUUGGGAAUACCAGGGGCUGUAAG
Non-coding RNA from Acanthosepion pharaonis, 114 nucleotides. Lineage: Eukaryota; Metazoa; Mollusca; Cephalopoda; Sepiida; Sepiidae. The record is from the annotation of a GenBank genome assembly.